AAGAUGCAGGUGGUAGGAGACGUCUCCUUCCGGCUGAUUUACCCACUUCCUGGUGGGGAGAGAUCGUGAGGUCUGAGUUAAUGACCAGAUGGCAUGGGAAGUCCUUGAAGGCUAGAAGAUGCUCACACGGGGUACAAAUACCUCUGUCUCUUAAAGAGCCUUACACAAGCCAGGCUGGCAUCACUGUCUGUGUAGCUGAGCUGACCUUAGACUCCUUAUCCAGCUGCUUGCAUCUCCCCAGUGCUGGGAUCUCAGGAGCACACCACCCCGCCACCAUGUCCAAUUCCCGCUGCAUGAUUUCUCAGCACGGCCCAAAAUGACAACGGUCAUUUUCUUCCUUCUCCAGCAGCGCCCUUUGGCCCCGAGGAAAGGGAUCGGAAUCUGCCAUCGCUGCAGGUGCAGAGAGAGCCCUGGACUGUCUGUGUGACUUUGGACAAAUUACACCCUCUCUCUGUGGCGUUUCCUCGUCUCUGCACUAAGUUAGUGGUGUUAGGGAUGACUAGCUGGAUCAAAUAGAAGGACUUCGAGAACUGCCAAACAAUUUUACUAAUAUAAAGAAUUUUUAUUUGGGUACUGGGGAAUCAGAUUGGACAUUAUCCAACGUCUGUGAGAAUCUAAUGUUCUUUGUUCUUGGAGGCCUGAAGGAAUUGCAAAUUCAAAUUUUGGACUUGAAUCAAGUUUGGCCUAAGGACCCAGACAGCAAAGCAAGUCAGCUAUUGCCACAGAAAUAUGUAUAGAGCCUUAGCUAUUGGCUUUAAUUUGUAGGCAGAGACAGAUAAGGCACAGUCUUCACCUUCGGGGAGGGUGGCUUUGGCAAGUAGAAUCCCAGAUAGGCAUGUUGGAAUGUGGGUUCAGCUCCCUCUCUCCUAAACUCAUAAUCUGGGCAUCACGGAGCCUCCGUUUCCCCUUCUGCAGAGGCCCGGCUGACUGUGAAAGACUCACGCAGACAAAUGAACUGGGCUCUGCAAACGUGGGAGACCAUGUGGACAGGUGUCUGAGAAGACAGGAGAGGCCCAGGAAGCCUCUUGCCGAGACUGCGGUGGGGCACGCUUUGAAGUGUCUCCCUGGUUAGGGAGGCUGCCCCUCUUGUAGGUGCCAUCACUUGUCAUUUACUCCUCCAUUCCGGCUUUGGAGGUGGCUCUCAUAAACACAGGGCCUCACGCAGCCUGCUCUGUGCAAGGGAAGACUGAUGGAGGAGGCUGGAGCCACAGGGGAGGACUCGCUGAAUGAAGGAGGUCGCUGGGAGGAGUGGCCUAAUGAGACUACCAGACUCCCAAGCUUCUCUCCUUGGAGCGUAAAUAUUUCCAACUAAGAUCACAGACUCCCUUUCUACAGAAAUCAAUGAAACCGCAAGGACAACGAUCUCUGCAUGGCUGCCCCGCAGCUAUCUCAGACGGUCACUUCCCCUCCCCAGCUGCACCAGGGCACAGGAUUUGCUCAAGCACUGUGUAGAGAGAUUCUGAAGCUGUGCGGACAUCAGGUGGCUUAGUCCCCACCGAUCUCAUUCUACUUGCAGAAGAGAGAGCAGAAGCUCCAUUGUGUGAGGGGUGGCUCUGCGCCCCUCUUUCCUGCAACACUUGCUUGGCAUUGGAGACCUGGGCUUGCAGGGCAUGGUGGCACGUGCCUUUAAUCCUAGCACUCAGGAGGCUGAGGCAGGCGGGUCUCUGAGUUCGAGGCUAGCCAUCCUGAAACUCAUUAUAUCUGGCCUUGAACUCAGAGAAACCCUGUCAGGAAAAACAAAACAACCAAAACCCCAAGAGACCCGGAUUAGGUUCUUCUUGAGUGAUUACUGAUUUAGUGUUUAGGACAAAACAGACAUUCUCCAAGCUGAAUCUCAUGUAUAUAAUGAAGAUGGCUGUGUCAAUCCUACCUGUCUUAGAGAAACAACGAGAUCAAAAGACGUCUGUCUAUGCGCGUGUCUUAUAAAGCUUUUGAUACAUAGAAGGUUUUAUGAAGAGAUAUUGUUAAAAGAUUAAAAAUAAAGUACUUAAA
This is a long non-coding RNA of Microtus oregoni (creeping vole), 1992 nucleotides long. RefSeq lists it as uncharacterized. The record is from RefSeq and is a predicted model, not a curated record. NCBI's taxonomy places the organism in Eukaryota, Metazoa, Chordata, Mammalia, Rodentia, Cricetidae. The transcript is spliced from 3 exons.